GUCGCCACAGCGUGUCAUCUUUUUCCAUAUAAGCGUAUCUCGUGCAUCCUCCUCCCACCCACUGUCCUCAUAUCCUCCUUAACAACAUCCAUCAAACUUUUCUUCGGUCUUCCUCUCGCUCUUUUGCCUGACAGCUCCAUCCUCAGCACCCUUCUACCAACAUACUCACUCUGUCGCCUCUGAACAUGUCCAAACAUUGAAGUCUGCUCUCUCUCACCUUGUCUCCAAAACAUCCAACUUUGGCUGUCCAUCUAAUGAGCUCAUUUCCAAUCCUAUCCAACCUCUUCACACCAAGCGAGAACCUCAGCAUCUUUAUUUCUGCUACCUCCAGUUCUGCUUCCUGAUGUUUCUUCAGGGCCACCGUCUCUAAUCUGUACAUCAUGGCCGGCCUCACCACUGUUUUAUAAACUUUGCCCUUCACCCUGGCGGAUACUCUUCUGUCACAUAGAAACACCAGGAACCAUCCGCCAGCUGUUCCACACCGCUUGGACCCAUUUCUUCAAUUCCUUACCAGACUCCAUUGCUCUGUAUUGUUGACCCCAAGUAUUUGAAGUCGUCCACCUUUGCUAUCUUCUCUCCCUGAAGCACUUCACUCUUCCUCCUCUGCCCCUCUCAUUCACACACAUACUGUAUAUUUUGUUUUCCUUCGGCAAAUCUUCAUUCCUCUCCUUUCCAGUGCGUACCUCCAUCUUUCUAAUGGUCCCUCUGCCUGUUACCUACUUUCACUGCAGAUCACAAUAUCAUCUGCGAACAUCAUGGUACAAGGGGAAUCCAGUCUAACCUCGUCUGUCAGCCUAUCCAUUACUACCGCAAACAGGAAGGGCCUCAGCACAGAACCCUAAUGCAGUCCCACCUCCACCUUGAAUUGUUCUGACACACCAACAGCACACCUCACCGCUGUUCUGCUGCCCUCAUACAUGUCCUGUACUAUUCUAACAUAUUUCUUCGCCUCACCAGACUUGCGCAUGCAAUACCACAGUUCCUCUCUUGGUACUAUAUCCUAGGCUUUCUCUCGGUCUACAAAGACUCAAUGUAGCUCCUUCUGAUCUCUGUACGUUUCCACAAGCAUCCUCAAGGCAAAUAAGUGCAUCUGUGGUACUCUUUCUAGGCAUGGAACCAUACUAUUCCUCGUAGAAACUUACUUCUGUCCUGAGUAUAGCCUCCACUACUCUUUCCCAUAACUUCAUUGUGUGACAUCUUCAUUCCUCUGUAGUUUCCACAGUUCUGAAUAUUGGCUUCUUUCUUAAAAAUGGGGACUAGCACAUUUUUCCUCCAUUCUUCUGGCAUCUUCUCUCCCACAAGUAUUCUAUUAAAUACCUGGGUCAAAAACUCCACAGCCACCUUACCAAACUACCUCCACAGGUAUGUCAUCGGGACCAAGUGUUUUCCAUUUUUCCAUUCUUUUCAGUGCCUUUCUAACUUCUCUCUUACUAAUCAAAGCCACUUCCCAGUCAUUCACGCUUGCCUCUUCUACUCUACCUUCUCUCCCAUUUUCUUCAUUCAUUAACCUCUCAAAGUACUCUUUCCAUCUGCUUAGUACACUAUUGGCACCAGUCAACAUAUUUCCAUCACUAUCCUUAAUCACCUUUACUUGCUGCACAUCCUUCCCAUCUCUAUCCCUCUGUCUGGCCAACCUGUAGAGCUCCUUUUCGACCUUCUUUUAUAUCCAACCUGGAGUACAUGUCAUAUGCUUUGUCGUGAGUAGUCAGGAAGAGAAAGAUGAAGACAAGACUGGAUAAAUAUGAUGGGGGAAGAUGAAAAAUGACAACAACAAAGAAAGUGGAUGCAGACAGAGAUGAAGAUAAGGAAUGGCCUUUCCAAUGAGUGUUUUUUUUUCAGCCUGAUGCUAAAACUUGGCAGAGUAAAAUUCUAAUCAAUCAGACAAUUAAUACAGACUAUUCCUCUAUCCAUUUUCUGAGCAGUUUAACUUCACAAGGGUUACAGGAGUGCCCUAUCCCAGCUAUCUUCGGGCAGGAGGCAGGGUGCACCCAAAAUUGGUUUCCAGCCAAUCGCAGGGCACAUAGAAAAAGAACUCACAUUCAUCAUUUGGGCAAUUUUGACUUUGACUUCAAUUAACCUACUAUGAAUGUUUUGGGAAUGUGGGAGGAGACCAAAGUGUCAGGAGAAAAGCCACAGAGAAACAGGGAGAACAUCCAAGCUCCACACGGGUGGGGUUGGGAUUUGAGUUGUCCACAAUGUCACCUCAGAAAGACUAAACUGUAUACAAUAUCUUCCUUUUGGUCCCUUAAAGGAAUGCUCCACUCAUUGCUUACCUCGAUGAAAUGCCGAUUAACCAUUAUAAAUAUAUAGUAUAUCUAGUAAAUUCUAGUAAAAAAAUUGAAUAAAUAACUUUAAUGCGCUCUUUUAACCAAGUAAUCAACAUUUUUGUAUGGUCGGCGCCAUUUUGACUAUUUUUACGAGACCACAUGACUUAAAAAAACAGGAAGUGAGGUAUCAUGUGCAUAAACAAAGGCUUGGUUAUAGAUCAAUUCCUACACAAUCAUAGCACUGAUUUAUAACCCUGAUUUAUCCUCAUCUGAUGAAGAAAUAGUAUCGUUGAUCGGGAAGACGGAGGACUACAUCCAUACAAAUUUGAACGUGUGGCUGUAAAUAAUGGUGAAUAUUGGGAUAACUAUUCGGACGGCAAUGACGUCGAACCUCUGACUACUCAGAGGUAGACAUGCGGGACACACCAUUCAUCAAUCCUAUCGAUUUUGGAGUGCGUUUAGGCUAGUUAUUAUGAUGCGGUUUCCUUUCAUACUUUUAAGUUGUUAUGACGCGGAACCUUUGUGAUGCGGGAUUCUGAAAUGUUCCAAGGAGCGCCUACAUAAGGACGAGAAAGACCGUCAACGGGGCUUAUUCACACUGCACCGCUGCUAUGGGACAAGGUACACUGGUUGGAACAAACUACAGGGACGCCUGCUGCCUUUCGUCUUUGAACAUUUGGACAUUUCUAGAACAUUCCCUAACUUGGAAUAUUCGCUGGAAGGAACAUUAGCCUGUUUGGGAACAUUCGUUCAACGGUGGUAAACUCCAUGCAGCUAUCCCUAUAAGCCCCCCCGGGAGGUCCGGGGUAAUUGGUGCCUUCUUCAUCAGAUGAGGAUAAAUCCGAGAAAUCAGCCCCCAGCACAAUGUAAUCGAGCCUUUGGUGAGGCACAACCGCGCACGCAUGGUGGAUCAGCGAGUAAAGCAUUGGCCUCACAGUUCUGAGGUCCCGGGUUCAAUCCUGGACCCGCCUGUGUGGAGUUUGCAAGUACCCCGGUGUACCUCGCCUCCUGCGCGUUGACAGCUAGGAUAGGCUCCACCACACCCCGUGGCCCUUGUGAGGAUGAACGGCGAAGAAAAUUGAUGGGAUUUUUUUAAAAUUUACGCAAUGUCUGGAUAUGUGCUAACUUUCAAAGCUAAACCCAAAAGAAACGUCAAUGACCCCGCCCCAUGAUGUCACCUGGGCUUAGCACCUGCUUGUUCAGUGUGUCAUAAGGAGUCUACUUCUGGACUCAUGUGUCUUAGUGCUGAACAACAUGGCAGAGCCGUUAACCUUUUUUUACUGUUACAAAUUUAUUUUCGAAUGUCCCGGAACACAUCAGAAAGGGUUUAAACUCCUAUAACUUCAACCAGGUGAAUAGUGUGAAGACAAUAAUUCCAAUCUUAAAUAAUAGAUUUGCCCCUGCUACAUGUUUUCAGCUCUAAUAAAAAAUUGGGACUUGUCUUGUUUUUGUCAGUUUUUGUGGUAGUGGCUUAGUCUUUAGUGUACGCUGCAUAAAUGAUUACCUUUCAGCAUGAUUCUUACAUAAUGCAUUGAUAACAUAAACAGAGUUAGUAGGAUGAAGUACAAAUAAAAGGCAAUUAAUUUAUAUGCAACCAAUUCAAUACUGUGGUAUCUGUAUAUGUGCUAGAGGUCAUGAGUGACCGUACAUUUCUAAUUAUUCAUA
Long non-coding RNA from Syngnathoides biaculeatus (alligator pipefish), 3932 nucleotides. RefSeq lists it as uncharacterized. The record is from RefSeq and is a predicted model, not a curated record. NCBI's taxonomy places the organism in Eukaryota, Metazoa, Chordata, Actinopteri, Syngnathiformes, Syngnathidae. The transcript is spliced from 3 exons.